This 1896-nucleotide ribosomal RNA is filed under the name Triticum aestivum (bread wheat). Its description in RNAcentral is "partial small subunit ribosomal RNA". The record is from RNAcentral. Lineage: Eukaryota; Viridiplantae; Streptophyta; Magnoliopsida; Poales; Poaceae.
AUGGGUCAUCGCCGAUGGCUACCACAGAAUCAUGUAUUUCGGAGACGAAAGAAGGAGUUUGAUAACACCGAAGAGAUGGAACUUGCACCUAUAACAAUGAGUGGUAGCUCAGCUUUGAGGAUGUUGCAGGGCAGAGUGUUUGUCUUAGGAAAAAAGGUUGUUGUGGCAAAGAAAGGGAAAGGGAAAAAGAAGGGCAAAGACAUUGAAAAAGGAACUGAAGGUCCUGAAAAACAGAAGCGUAAAAGAGCGCCUAACAAGAAAUCAGGUAACGUCGCACGUAAACCUGAAAAGAAGCCUGAGGAUUGUUUCAAAAAGAAGUCGAUAUUCUUUGAUUUGGAAUACUGGGAGCACAACAAGUUAAGGCACAAUCUAGAUGUCAUGCAUAUUGAGAAAAAUGUCUUUGAAAAUUUAAUUGGAACCUUACUGGAUAUUGAUUCUAAAACAAAGGAUGGCCUUAAUGCACGACUUGACUUGGGAGAAAUUGGAAUUCGAUCUAGCCUUCAACCUCAUGAAGGUGAUAAGGGUAAAACUGAAUUGCCGCAUGCACCUUUUAAUAUGUAUAAAGAAAAGAAGGAGAUUCUUUGUACAGUGAUUAAGAAUUGUAGGACACCUGAUGGUUGUGCAUCAAACUUUUCAAGGUGUGUGAACAUGAAAGAAUUGACAUUGACUGGCCUCAAAAGCCACGACUGCCAUGUUAUUCUACAAGACAUCCUUCCUGUGGCACUUUUACACUGUUAUCCCAGUAAAGAUGUCAUGAUAUUAGUUGUUGAGCUGGCUAAUUUCUUCAAGAAACUAUGCUCCAAAGUGUUAGAUUUCUCUGAGCUUGACAAACUGCAAGAGAGUAUUGUGAAGACACUUUGUAAUAUGGAAAAGGUUUUUCUUCCAUCGUUUUUUACUGUCAUGGUACAUUUAAUGGUGCAUUUAGUUGAAGAAGCUAAACUUGGUGGCCCGGUGCAUUACAGGUGGAUGUACCCUCUAGAGAGAUCAUUUGUUUGGCUAAAGUCACUUGUGCGCAAUAGAGCUUAUCCUGAAGGUUCUAUUGCUGAAGGAUAUACUGUUGAAGAAUGCUUGACCUUUUGUUCAAGAUUUCUAGAAGGAACCACACGUUUCACAAGAACAUCUAGGAACCCUGAUCCUUCAGAUAAUACAAAGGGCAUGUACAUGUUUGAUAGUGUUGGUGAGCCAAUUGGAAAGGCUGUCACUAUAGGCCAAUUGGACGAUCAGCUUCUAGUUCAAGCACAUCGAUGUGUCUUGCGACACUCUGAUGAGCUUGAUGAUCUCCGUAGAGAAUUUGUGGACCAAGAGAAGAGGAAACCGGGUAACUUAAAUUUGACGGACGAUGACAAUGAGGAUUUGAUUAGUAGACACUUUGCUGACUGGUUGGAACAAAAGGUUAUACUAGAUGAUGGAUCGGAUAUCACAGAAAAGAUAAGAGCAUUAGCCGCAAAACCAAGCAAAUGCGGGGUGCGCUAUAGUGGCUAUAUAAUUAAUGGUUUCAGGUUUCAUACUAUCAGUCGCGAGACAGGACGCGUGACACAAAAUAGUGGUGUCGUGAACCUUGCUGAAAAUGGUGUGUCCUAUUAUGGUCGGUUAUCUGACAUCUUUGAAUUGUCAUACAAAGAUUACAAGGUGGUUUUCUUUAAAUGUGAUUGGUAUGAUGUUCAUCACAAAGCUGGUAUUAUAAGAGAUGAGUUUGGAUUCACUCAUGUGAACUUCUCCCGAAAAAUACAUACAGGGGAGAAGUUAGAGGAUGAUCCUUUUGUAUUUUCUUCCCAAGUGGACCAGGUCUUCUAUAUUCAAAAUCCGAGAAGUGAGAAUUGGAAUACCAUGGUGAAAUUCAAACCUCGUGAUAUUUUUGACAUGGGUGGAGAACCAUCUUCAGAUGAAACAGAGUAG